UGGGGGAUAUUGCACAAUGGGCGAAAGCCUGAUGCAGCGACGCCGCGUGGGGGAUGAAGGCCUUCGGGUUGUAAACUUCUUUUGCUCUGAACAAGGCGCACCAUGGGGUGUGUUGAGUGUAGGGGUUGAUUAGCGCCGGCUAACUACGUGCCAGCAGCCGCGGUAAUACGUAGGGCGCGAGCGUUGUCCGGAAUUAUUGGGCGUAAAGGGCUUGUAGGUGGCUGGUUGCGUCUGUCGUGAAAGCUCAUGGCUUAACUGUGGGUUUGCGGUGGGUACGGGCGGGCUUGAGUGCAGUAGGGGAGGCUGGAAUUCCUGGUGUAGCGGUGGAAUGCGCAGAUAUCAGGAGGAAUACCGGUGGCGAAGGCGGGUCUCUGGGCUGUUACUGACACUGAGGAGCGAAAGCAUGGGGAGCGAACAGG
Molecule: ribosomal RNA, 419 nt
Filed under: bacterium
Lineage: Bacteria
Description: partial 16S ribosomal RNA
Rfam family: Bacterial small subunit ribosomal RNA
Source: RNAcentral